AGAGCGAACGCUGGCGGCGUGCUUAACACAUGCAAGUCGAACGCGCAGCAUUCUGUAGCAAUACAGGGUGUGGGCGCGUGGCGAACGGGUGCGUAACACGUGGAUAACCUUCCUUCGGGUGGGGAAUAACCCAGUGAAAAUUGGGCUAAUACCGCAUAACAUCGCGAUGGCACAUGCCGUUGCGUUCAAAGGCGUAAGUCGCCAGAAGAGGGAUCCGCGGCCGAUUAGCUUGUUGGCGGGGUAACGGCCCACCAAGGCUUUGAUCGGUA
RNAcentral lists this ribosomal RNA (269 nucleotides) under uncultured bacterium. RNAcentral's name for it is "partial small subunit ribosomal RNA". It matches the Rfam family "Bacterial small subunit ribosomal RNA", at positions 26 to 285 of the family's 1533-position model. The record is from RNAcentral.